Molecule: ribosomal RNA, 482 nt
Filed under: uncultured bacterium
Lineage: Bacteria
Description: bacterial SSU rRNA
Rfam family: Bacterial small subunit ribosomal RNA
Source: RNAcentral
AACUAACGCUGGCGGCGUGCCUAACACAUGCAAGUCGUACGAGAAAGUUGGCUUCGGCCGAUGAGUACAGUGGCGCACGGGUGAGUAACGCGUGGAUAAUCUGCCCUUAAGUGUGGAAUAACGUACCGAAAGGUGCGCUAAUACCGCAUAAUGCCUGGCAACAUAAGUUGUCCGGCCAAAGAAGGCCUCUGCUUGCAAGCUUUCGCUAAAGGAUGAGUCCGCGUACCAUUAGCUAGUUGGUGGGGUAACGGCCUACCAAGGCGACGAUGGUUAGCUGGUCUGAGAGGAUGAUCAGCCACACUGGAACUGAGACACGGUCCAGACUCCUACGGGAGCAGCAGUGAGGAAUAUUGCGCAAUGGGGGCAACCCUGACGCAGCAACGCCGCGUGAGUGAGGAAGGUUUUCGGACUGUAAAGCUCUGUCGAGCGGGAAGAAGUGUACCAUGGCUAAUAUCCAUGAUAUUUGACGGUACCGCUAGAGG